ACUUCAAAGAUACCAUCCAUCCAUCUUGCCCUUGGGCGACCCCUUCCUCUUUCCUUCCAUUUUACCCAGCAUAAUUCUGUCCUCUAAGCUUUUCUGUCUUCUCAUUAUGUGGCCAAAGUACUUCAUCUUUGCCUCUAAUAUCAUUCCCUCCAGUGAGCAGUCGGGCAUUAUUUUCUGGAGUAUCAAACAUCCAUAUGUACUCCUGAUUAUAUAAGUGCAGAUUUCCCUUUGCAGGUGGAAGCCCAUGGACCAAACAUUUCAACCUUCACCUGAUGUGCAGUCAAGCUUUAGUAAGCUCUAAUAUUAGUAGAAUGGUUUCAAAGGUAAAAGUCAAGCUUAUGUUGACACAGCUCAUGUCUCAUUGUCAGCUAAUCUCUGAAAAAAAUGUUGAAAAACAUCUUUGCAGAGAUGGCAACGCCUGGACUGGUAGCAGAGUAAAUCCCCAUUGCUAAAAAUAUUCAUAAAACCAAGGAGCUAAACAAAAGUAGCCUUCCUUAAGUAAGCAAGUCCUUAACCGAAUCAUAGUUUCCCCCAGACGUCAGACCAACCCAGUUUAUGAAGAGCAAGAGAAAAGAAUUGGAGAUUUAACAUGAAUUUGCAGAGGCCAGUUACUGGAAAACUGAUGGAAGAGUAAAAAAUGCAAAAAAAGUCUCAGAAAAGCAACUAAGAGUUUCAAUUGAGGCUGUGUUGGCUAUUCAGAGCUUAAAGUACAUAUUUAGUAUCAACACAAUUAAAAGAGCAGCAAAUACAACACCAGUCUUUCCAGCAGGACAGGAAGGUAUAAAACGCUAGAGAAAAUAACCACCACUUUCUAAAAUCAGUGUUCCUUCAAACGUACAGAUCGUCAUUUCAAAGACUGUCAGACAACUUUUGCACUUCGAAUUCAGUCUGCAGCAACUGAAGAAAGAUGAGGACAAAGGAGAAAUGUGUAAAGUGAGAUAAAAACUAGGAUACAUAAGUUUUUUUUGGUGAACUAUCGCAAGCUGGCAUCACUUUCAGCUGAAAUUAAAUAAAAUUCCUCGGUGUCUUUCUGCUUUAACUUGAAAAACGCCUUGAGAGCUGUGGUUUCUACAGUUUCUACCAUAGGCCUAGAUAUGGCCUGAAGAUGUGAACAAAGCCUGAGGCUAAGCAAGCAUGGAUCUGAUUAGGUUCUGGAUGGGAGACAUCAGAUAAUGAACUCAAUAUUUUAAACCUAUUCAGCCAGAAAUGAAAAAGAAGAGGACAGGAUCAUCUAUUUUGGCAAAUGGUAGAUCGGCGUGAAACCCAAAUGAGUGGAUUGACGACAAAUAGUAAAGCAUAGAA
Anolis carolinensis (green anole) is the source of this 1302-nucleotide long non-coding RNA. RefSeq lists it as uncharacterized. NCBI's taxonomy places the organism in Eukaryota, Metazoa, Chordata, Lepidosauria, Squamata, Anolidae. The record is from RefSeq and is a predicted model, not a curated record. The transcript has 3 exons.